This 279-nucleotide ribosomal RNA is filed under the name uncultured bacterium. RNAcentral describes it as "partial 16S ribosomal RNA". It matches the Rfam family "Bacterial small subunit ribosomal RNA", at positions 506 to 784 of the family's 1533-position model. The record is from RNAcentral.
UGCCAGCCGCCGCGGUAACACGGAGUGUGCAAGCGUUACUCGGAAUCACUGGGCAUAAAGCGCACGCAGGCGGGUAGUCUAGUCGGCCGUGAAAGCCCCCGGCCCAACCGGGGAAUUGCGACCGAAACUGGCUGUCUUGAGGGCGAGAGGGGUGAGCGGAACUUCUGGUGGAGCGGUGAAAUGCGUAGAUAUCAGAAGGAACACCGGUGGCGAAAACGGCUCACUGGCUCGUUUCUGACGCUGAGGUGCGAAAGCGGGGGUAGCGAACGGGAUUAGAUA